This is a long non-coding RNA of Bradysia coprophila, 126 nucleotides long. Lineage: Eukaryota; Metazoa; Arthropoda; Insecta; Diptera; Sciaridae. The record is from RefSeq and is a predicted model, not a curated record.
ACUGAAUGACUCGUAUGACGUAAUCCAAAUACGAUGCAUUUUUUGUGCAUAAUGUCUAGCCUACAUUUAGGUGAUAUAUCAAUUAAGCACCUACCUUUCCUCAGAGAUUAUUUUCAAACUUCGAUG